Passer domesticus (house sparrow) is the source of this 1992-nucleotide long non-coding RNA. RefSeq lists it as uncharacterized. Lineage: Eukaryota; Metazoa; Chordata; Aves; Passeriformes; Passeridae. The transcript has 2 exons. The record is from RefSeq and is a predicted model, not a curated record.
UCCGGUCCCUUCCCUGCCAGCUCCUGCUGCGCGCCCUGUGCGCGCUCCUGCCCUCCUCGUGCGCCGUCCGGUAAUCCAACCUCCACGAGCAGUGGUUCGUUACUCGUUUUCUCUCCCCAUCAAAAAACUCUCCAGUCUCUCAUCAACUCCAAGACAAGAUCAGAUUACAAUCUAGUACAUCUAACAAUCACUCCUCUGAGCUGGCACUGACAGUGUAAAUAAAGACUACUUUAUGUUAAAUAUGAAAUCAGCAUAAGCCCUGAACUCUGCAAUGAAAGAUUAGGUGGAUCAUCAAUAACAGUCCACCUGUGCUGACAGAAAUUUUCUGUGCUUUAUUCUUGGAAGUACUCUGUGAAAUCCCAGGAGGGCUGUAUGGAAUACAAUUCCACUUAAAAUGUGGGAAAUCUGGGACAGGAAAGAAACAUCACAGCACAAUCUCACUACACUGCACGGUGGACCUAAGUGAUGGAAUUUCUACACCAAAACAAACAAAAUAAAAAAAAGGCCUCCCAAAAAACGCUCCCCCAGCUGCUCAGAGAUCAGGAAACCCAACCUGUCUUUCAACUUCACAGAAACGGAACGUGCCAUGAAUAGCUUGAUCAGGUCUGAAUCACAGGUUGUCCAGAACUUGUGACUAAAAUAGCUCCAUGAGCUUACCUUCCAAAGGCACAGAGAGCCUGCCUGGCUCCCCACCUUUAUCUGAGAUCAAACUGUUUAUCACAUUCCUUCCUCAUACGUCAGCUCCUUGUGAUGACAGCCAGCCAGUGAUUAAUACAUUUUAUUAGGUUGGUUCCAGUGACUUGAAAUGAAUUUGCCCUGACUCCUCAGGCUCGCUCCCACACCCACUGCCUGGCACUCCAGCCAUGCUAGGAAUGCACAAUAGAAAACAAAUUAUCUUAGGCGAUACCUCAUAAAUCUAUAGCAGUAAAUUAACUGCACGACGGCUCCAAGCAGAAAUCAGCUUCACGAGGUUUUUCCUCCCUUUCUCCAGGAGAAAAGAGCCAACCCAACAGCGUUAAAGCCCCAGAGAAAUCACUGUUCCCUCGUCUCUUGCACUCUUCUCCGUGCUCAGCACAUUAAACAGAGCUGUGGAAGACAGAUAUGGAAAGCAGUCCAAACUGUUUUCAGUGUUAUAAUUACAAAGUGACAGAAUAAGAGGUUUUAUCCUGGUCUUGCUCUCUUAGCUGUAAUCUGCCUUCUACUGCACCAGGACCACAGAUUCUAUCUGAAUUUACAGGCUGAAUUCUCCAUGCGUCCUUCUGCAGUGUAAAACCAACACACGCUGGAUAAAGGACUUGAAUCAGCCUAGACACCGUCUGGCAGCAAACUAUACUUAACUAUUAACAAUAUCCUCUCUGCUAAUUACAGCUUGUCUUGGCUCGAGUGAGAGCUGCAAUUCCUUUGCCUUUGGCGUGAUGGGAGGAAGAUCAACUGCACAAAAAUCAGCACCGUCUUAGAAGUGAUUCAGCACUGGAUGCUUUUUAUUUAAUUACUGAUUACCAAGUGAGCCUUGAGAACUGACUAGACACCCGCGGCGUGCCUCAGUUGCAAGGCAUUGUUUGAGCUCCCAUCACCGCCAUCCACACAAGAUCUACGCGAUGAAACCUCACUCUGCAUUCUGUUCUACCAGUUUAUAGAUAAUGGAGAGACCUGUAAUUCAAAGGUCUGUUGAUAUAAUGAGAUUAAUGUACAUGUGUUCUUCUUGCCCAUGCACAUGUGAGAAGUCUUUUUUUUUUCCAGACUUUACAAUCUCUGGGUUUUGUACUUUUGUCAGGGCAGCUUAACUGGCCUUUAAAUGAAAUUGAUCUGCCUCAGAAUUAAUACAAUAAGGAAGGUUAGCUCUGAUGUUACCACAUCCUGCAAUCUUAUUUGUGACUAAAAUGAAAACAAGCUCCAUGAACACCUUUACAGGCAGCCACAUCCCAAGAGGGAGACUUCACACUUUUGGCCUGACCAAGGUUUAUUUAUGUAAUACGCAAACAUCAACUAACA